Molecule: ribosomal RNA, 3121 nt
Filed under: Streptomyces noursei
Lineage: Bacteria; Bacillati; Actinomycetota; Actinomycetes; Kitasatosporales; Streptomycetaceae
Description: 23S ribosomal RNA
Rfam family: Bacterial large subunit ribosomal RNA
Source: RNAcentral
GGCCAAGUUUUUAAGGGCGCACGGUGGAUGCCUUGGCACCAGGAACCGAUGAAGGACGUGGGAGGCCACGAUAGGCCCCGGGGAGCUGUCAACCGAGCUUUGAUCCGGGGGUGUCCGAAUGGGGAAACCCGGCAGUCGUCAUGGGCUGUCACCCGCUGCUGAACACAUAGGCAGUGUGGAGGGAACGCGGGGAAGUGAAACAUCUCAGUACCCGCAGGAAGAGAAAACAACCGUGAUUCCGGGAGUAGUGGCGAGCGAAACUGGAUGAGGCCAAACCAGUCACGUGUGAUACCCGGCAGGGGUUGCGUGGUUGGGGUUGUGGGAUCUCUCUUUUGCAGUCUGCCGGCUGUGAGGCGAGUCAGAAACCGUUGAUGUAGGCGAAGGACAUGCGAAAGGUCCGGCGUAGAGGGUAAGACCCCCGUAGCUGAAACAUUAGCGGCUCGUUUGAGAGACACCCAAGUAGCACGGGGCCCGAGAAAUCCCGUGUGAAUCUGGCGGGACCACCCGUUAAGCCUAAAUAUUCCCUGGUGACCGAUAGCGGAUAGUACCGUGAGGGAAUGGUGAAAAGUACCGCGGGAGCGGAGUGAAAUAGUACCUGAAACCGUGUGCCUACAAGCCGUGGGAGCGUCGCUGGUGAGUUUACUCAUCAGUCGUGACUGCGUGCCUUUUGAAGAAUGAGCCUGCGAGUUUGCGGUAUGUUGCGAGGUUAACCCGUGUGGGGAAGCCGUAGCGAAAGCGAGUCCGAAUAGGGCGUGGAGUAGCAUGCUCAAGACCCGAAGCGGAGUGAUCUAGCCAUGGGCAGGUUGAAGCGGAGGUAAGACUUCGUGGAGGACCGAACCCACCAGGGUUGAAAACCUGGGGGAUGACCUGUGGUUAGGGGUGAAAGGCCAAUCAAACUCCGUGAUAGCUGGUUCUCCCCGAAAUGCAUUUAGGUGCAGCGUCGUGUGUUUCUUGCCGGAGGUAGAGCACUGGAUAGGCGAUGGGCCCUACCGGGUUACUGACCUUAGCCAAACUCCGAAUGCCGGUAAGUGAGAGCGCGGCAGUGAGACUGUGGGGGAUAAGCUCCAUGGUCGAGAGGGAAACAGCCCAGAGCAUCGACUAAGGCCCCUAAGCGUGUGCUAAGUGGGAAAGGAUGUGGAGUCGCAGAGACAACCAGGAGGUUGGCUUAGAAGCAGCCACCCUUGAAAGAGUGCGUAAUAGCUCACUGGUCAAGUGAUUCCGCGCCGACAAUGUAGCGGGGCUCAAGUACACCGCCGAAGUCGUGUCAUUGCAGCAUGAGGGCUAACGCCUGUUGUGAUGGGUAGGGGAGCGUCGUGUGCCGGGUGAAGCAGCCGUGGAAACGAGUUGUGGACGGUUCACGAGUGAGAAUGCAGGCAUGAGUAGCGAUACAAGAGUGGGAAACUCUUGCGCCGAUUGACUAAGGGUUCCUGGGUCAAGCUGAUCUGCCCAGGGUAAGUCGGGACCUAAGGCGAGGCCGACAGGCGUAGUCGAUGGACAACCGGUUGAUAUUCCGGUACCCGCUUUGAAGCGCCCAAUACUGAAUCAGGCGAUGCUAAGUCCGUGAAGCCGCCCUGAUCUCUUCGGAGUUGAGGGGAGUGGUGGAGCCGACGGACCAGACUUGUAGUAGGUAAGCGAUGGGGUGACGCAGGAAGGUAGUCCAGCCCGGGCGGUGGUUGUCCCGGGGUAAGGGUGUAGGCCGUGUGGUAGGUAAAUCCGUCGCACGUUAAGGCUGAGACCUGAUGCCGAGCCGAUUGUGGUGAAGUGGAUGAUCCUAUGCUGUCGAGAAAAGCCUCUAGUGAGUUUCAAGGCGGCCCGUACCCUAAACCGACUCAGGUGGUCAGGUAGAGAAUACCGAGGCGUUCGGGUGAACUAUGGUUAAGGAACUCGGCAAAAUGCCCCCGUAACUUCGGGAGAAGGGGGGCCAUUUCUGGUGAGGGAACUUGCUUCCUGAGCUGGGGGUGGCCGCAGAGACCAGCGAGAAGCGACUGUUUACUAAAAACACAGGUCCGUGCGAAGCCGUAAGGCGAUGUAUACGGACUGACGCCUGCCCGGUGCUGGAACGUUAAGGGGACCGGUUAGCUUGGAUUCGUUCAGGCGAAGCUGAGAACUUAAGCGCCAGUAAACGGCGGUGGUAACUAUAACCAUCCUAAGGUAGCGAAAUUCCUUGUCGGGUAAGUUCCGACCUGCACGAAUGGCGUAACGACUUCUCGACUGUCUCAACCAUAGGCCCGGUGAAAUUGCAUUACGAGUAAAGAUGCUCGUUUCGCGCAGCAGGACGGAAAGACCCCGGGACCUUUACUAUAGCUUGAUAUUGGUGUUCGGUUCGGCUUGUGUAGGAUAGGUGGGAGACUGUGAAGCGCCAACGCCAGUUGGUGUGGAGUCGUUGUUGAAAUACCACUCUGGUCGUGCUGGAUGUCUAACCUGGGUCCGUGAUCCGGAUCAGGGACAGUGUCUGGUGGGUAGUUUAACUGGGGCGGUUGCCUCCUAAAGAGUAACGGAGGCGCCCAAAGGUUCCCUCAGCCUGGUUGGUAAUCAGGUGUUGAGUGUAAGUGCACAAGGGAGCUUGACUGUGAGACUGACGGGUCGAGCAGGUACGAAAGUAGGGACUAGUGAUCCGGCGGUGGCUUGUGGAAGCGCCGUCGCUCAACGGAUAAAAGGUACCCCGGGGAUAACAGGCUGAUCUUCCCCAAGAGUCCAUAUCGACGGGAUGGUUUGGCACCUCGAUGUCGGCUCGUCGCAUCCUGGGGCUGGAGUCGGUCCCAAGGGUUGGGCUGUUCGCCCAUUAAAGCGGUACGCGAGCUGGGUUUAGAACGUCGUGAGACAGUUCGGUCCCUAUCCGCUGUGCGCGUAGGAGUCUUGAGAAGGGCUGUCCCUAGUACGAGAGGACCGGGACGGACGAACCUCUGGUGUGCCAGUUGUUCUGCCAAGGGCAUGGCUGGUUGGCUACGUUCGGAAAGGAUAACCGCUGAAAGCAUCUAAGCGGGAAGCCUGCUUCGAGAUGAGGGCUCCCUCCUCCUUGAGAGGGUAAGGCUCCCAGUAGACGACUGGGUUGAUAGGCCAGAUAUGGAAGCACUGUAAGGUGUGGAGUUGACUGGUACUAAUAGGCCGAGGGCUUGUCCUC